Oncorhynchus tshawytscha (Chinook salmon) is the source of this 1072-nucleotide long non-coding RNA. NCBI's taxonomy places the organism in Eukaryota, Metazoa, Chordata, Actinopteri, Salmoniformes, Salmonidae. The record is from Ensembl.
GUUUCUGCUAGCUCUAGUUGUGUCGUUGUUGGUCUGUCACACAGGAUGUUGGGCACUGCACUGACACAGCCAUACAAGUCUGGAGAGUCGGUAAGAUCGACAAGUAGCAUGGCCUUUUCCCUGUCACUAGAAGGGUUUCAGACGUCCUGGAUAGAUUUGUUUCAUAUGAGGUCACGUGUCCUUUUGAUGACAGCCGUCGUAUUAAAUAAGGGAGCUGAGAAAACAAACGUUCUUCGUGUAUUGGGUGGAUUUGAUCUAUCUUGACACUCCAUAUUAAGACCUUGAAGAAGGCGCAGUGAUUCCGAGACGUUGGAUGCUGCAAUGGAGAGCGAGUACUGCCAGCUGGCCCUGUGUUUGCAGUACUGGGAAAGAACGUCACGUUCACACCGCCCUAAAACCCUCAGAUGUGGUCAACUUUAUCACUGCAGCAUGGAAUUUCAACGCUGGCAGUGUACAAGGUUGUCACGCUCAGAGGAGAGAACGUUGGCGCUGGCUACGCUGGAAGAGUGUCACUGAAUUCAUGCUUUAAAAAUCACAAAAAGUGUCUUCAGCUGAUGAAAAUGAUCUCACAGAACAAAUGUAUAAGAUCUCCUAAGCCUGUGUUUUAACACAGACCUUGCUUUCGGCUUUUUCCAAAAAUGCCAUUCCUUCCCACAUAGGCUUUGUCUAACAAACCGUGGCGGAGUUGGUGCCUACAAGAAGAUGCCAUUACUAUUUCAAUAUGUAUGUCCUCAUCAAUUUCUUGCCCUCCCCAUCACUUCUUCUCCCAUUCACCAUUUUCUACCUCUUCUCUCCCCUCCCAUCAGAACCCUUCUCCAACCAGGUGGUGUGUUCAAGUUGCCCAGUUUGGCUUUCAACCUUCUCUCUCUCUCUUUCACUUGGAUCUGAUGGGAGGACUUGACCUAUCCCACAAGCCCCGAAGAGGUUCAGGGGACACACACACACACUCUUUCACAAACAAACAGACAGAUAGACUGUAACAGAACUAUUGUACUACAUUACUACAGUGCUUACUAAAAGUAUUUUCUAUGUACUAACUGUAUUAUGAAGUAUUUAGAACAUAGACACAAAG